Molecule: long non-coding RNA, 455 nt
Organism: Dermacentor albipictus
Lineage: Eukaryota; Metazoa; Arthropoda; Arachnida; Ixodida; Ixodidae
Source: RefSeq, a predicted model, not a curated record
AUGUUACAUGCAGAAAGCAGCAUAGAUUACUGGAACAAUAAAAGGAAAGGAACGCAAGAACUGAAAUGACAUGGGCGCAAAUGCUCUUGCAGAAGACAGACAUGCGAUGCGCCUUCUGCAAUAUGUAUUUUUGGCCAGCUUUUUCGUCCACACAGCAUUUGUAGAAGGAAACUCUACUUGUCGCUUGUUGUUCAAGGGCGAGGAAAAGGAGGUUGCUCAUUGAGACCAAAAGAAGGAAAUUGUACAAGUAAUCCUUGGUGGUACUUUAACCGAGCUACACAGGCAUGUGAACUUGUGAAGGAUGGAUGUCCCAGGAAGCCUAACUAUUACCGCUCAUGCAACAUAUGCGCCAAAGUGUGCAUAAACCAGAUACAAACUGCUCGGAAGAAGGAUCCCUGUCCCGGAAAGCUUAAAAAACUUAUAAAGAAGAUGAAAAAUAAAAUGACAAUACUAUA